Molecule: ribosomal RNA, 253 nt
Filed under: uncultured bacterium
Lineage: Bacteria
Also listed under: 1 other name
Description: partial 16S ribosomal RNA
Rfam family: Bacterial small subunit ribosomal RNA
Source: RNAcentral
UACGAAGGGGGCUAGCGUUGUUCGGAAUUACUGGGCGUAAAGCGUGCGCAGGCGGUUUCUCAAGUCAGGGGUGAAAGCCCGGAGCUCAACUCCGGAAUUGCCUUUGAAACUGUGAAGCUAGAGUGCGGGAGAGGUGAGUGGAAUUCCCAGUGUAGAGGUGAAAUUCGUAGAUAUUGGGAAGAACACCGGUGGCGAAGGCGGCUCACUGGCCCGUUUCUGACGCUCAUGCACGACAGCGUGGGGAUCAAACAGG